RNAcentral lists this ribosomal RNA (377 nucleotides) under uncultured prokaryote. Its description in RNAcentral is "partial 16S ribosomal RNA". The stretch from base 25 to 97 matches the Rfam family "tRNA". The record is from RNAcentral.
CCCUAUGGGGUGCACCAGGAAUUCGGGGGUGUAGCUCAGCUGGGAGAGCGCCUGCCUUGCACGCAGGAGGCCAUCGGUUCGAACCCGUUCACCUCCACCAAGAUUUGGUGAAAAGUGAAAAGUGAAAAGUAAAAAGUAUGCGGAAUACUUUUCACAUUUAACGUUUUACUUUUUACUGAAAUGUUCUUUGACAAUUGCAUAGAGAUUUGUAGUAAGGCGUAUGACCGUGGCAGUGUAAAAAGCUGACACGGGAGUAUGUUCGGGUAGAUUGAUUCAAUUUCAGUAAUUUAUGGUCAAGCUACGAAGGGCGUACGGUGGAUGCCGAGGCAGAGGAAGGCGAUGAAGGACGUGGUAAGCUGCGAUAAGCUUCGGGGAGC